CACGGGUGAGUAACACGUAUCCAACCUGCCGACAACACUGGGAUAGCCUUUCGAAAGAAAGAUUAAUACCGGAUGGCAUAGUUUUCCCGCAUGGGAUAAUUAUUAAAGAAUUUCGGUUGUCGAUGGGGAUGCGUUCCAUUAGGCAGUUGGCGGGGUAACGGCCCACCAAACCAACGAUGGAUAGGGGUUCUGAGAGGAAGGUCCCCCACAUUGGAACUGAGACACGGUCCAAACUCC
RNAcentral lists this ribosomal RNA (237 nucleotides) under uncultured Bacteroides sp. Its description in RNAcentral is "partial 16S ribosomal RNA". It matches the Rfam family "Bacterial small subunit ribosomal RNA", at positions 102 to 339 of the family's 1533-position model. The record is from RNAcentral. Lineage: Bacteria; Pseudomonadati; Bacteroidota; Bacteroidia; Bacteroidales; Bacteroidaceae.